RNAcentral lists this long non-coding RNA (2178 nucleotides) under Sus scrofa (pig). Its description in RNAcentral is "lncRNA (ENSSSCG00045000213.1)". The record is from RNAcentral. Lineage: Eukaryota; Metazoa; Chordata; Mammalia; Artiodactyla; Suidae.
UGGAUUCUAAAUCUUCUGGCUGGGGAAUGUAGACAUUGGCUUAUGGUUGAUGGUGUAGACUGGUGAGAAUUCAAAUUUUUCUAAACUCAUGGUAAGCAUAUUGUAAAAUACAUAUGUACUAGGAAUUUUCAAAAUUGGUUUGUUUGGUGUGGAGUAUAUUCAACAGUAUUUUUGACAUUUUUCUUUAGAAAAGGAAAAUCUAAAGGAAUUUCAUAAGUUUUGUUACAUAAAGGAUUGAAAUAUUGUGAAUUUGAAAGUGCACUGCUGUUGGCCUGAUUGGUAAACCAACACACUACAAUUGAUAUCAAAAGUUUUCUCCUGUAAUAUAUUAUUCCUGGGCUUGUCAAGUGAAUUCUUUGCCUGUUCAAAAUGGAAACCAUUGAUUAGAACUACAUUCUUUUCCCCUUGUUUUAAUUUGAACCCAACCACAUGGAUUUUUCUCUUAGGAAAAUCUCCUUUUUGGAGAUCAUGGUGUCACAGUGUUUGGUUCUUUCAUUUUUGUUUUUUAACACUUGUCUCCCUUUAUAUACAAAAGUACGAUAUGAAACCUUCAUUUAAUCUCUGCAGUUCAUCUCAUUUCAAAUGUUUAUGGAAGAAGCACUUCAUUGAAAGUACUGCUGUAAAUAUUCUGCCAUAGGAAUGCUUCUGUCGACAUUCUUUCUCAUUCCAGAAUUCGUCAUCACGCUGCACCGGCCUCGUCUUUGUUGGUAGGUGUCCCAUUUCUAUCUGCUACUCUUUAUUUCGUGGAGUCGAAUCAACGCUUUGAAGGCGAGGCUGUGAUAAUGGAACCAGAAGGCUGUUUGAACUUUUGAAACCUUGUGUGGGAUUGAUGGUGGUGCCGAGGCAUGAAAAGCUAGUAUAAGCAAGAAAAGGAGAGAGAAUGUACAGAGACUUGGUGGUGCAUAAUGGAUAUUUUUCAACUUGGCAAGAUGUGUCUCUCAAUCCUGCGGCUUCGGUGAGAGAAUGUGCAGAGAGCAAUGAUCAUAAAUAAUGUACGAAUGUUCUUCACAUUCAAAGGACAUCCGCAUCUGUUGGAAGACUUAAAACAUCAGCCACACCUUAGACUCCAUGACCACGACGUGUGUGUACAAUGGUUGCAACGGAUCCCUCCAGAAGGCUCCAUCCCCCAUCACUACUGGUUGAAGGCGUCUUCACAUCUUGACACACUAUUGCAAGUGAGCAAAACUCCCUUUGGCUCCAAUUAAAAAGAUGUGCUCCAACACCACAGGGACUAAGAUGAGUUUUCAACUUUCCUGCUCUUGGUCCCCAGAGAUGGACUUACAUCCAAGGUUUGUGCCUUUCCCAGCUCCCAGCUAAAUUAUCUGUGCCUGAAAAUCCACACUAUCAAGUGGAAAGAAAGCCAUGAAUAAACCUUGAAUUGAUCUCAAGAUGGGAGGAGAAAAUUAUAUCUACUUCCUUUAAAAGGCAUCAUCAAUCCUAAUAGUCUUAACGUCAUGUCCAGAGCAAAGCUGAAUUGUGUCAUGUCUGUUUCAAUCGUGUAGUAUUUGUGUUCAACCUGCCCUCUGUCCAUUGUCAAUGAUAGAUGACCUACCCCCACCACUGACAAUCUUUUUGGCAGUCACUUUGGGUAUUCAAGACACUUAAAAAUAGUUAAAUAAAUCAUGGGUUUUCCAAAAGAUGGACACUGGGAUGGGAUGAAUCAGACUGUGGUCUGCCUGACAUAAUUUGUGCAUCUGCCAAUUUGGGACCUGUCAGUUUUCCAUCUGGAACAUCAAAUUUAAAAAAACUAUAUUGUUUAUGGCAGUAAAACUACUGUUUAACAUCUGUGAAUCUUGUCUAUAAAACUGGAAUAACCACCUGCUCUAUCUUCUUACUUGUGCUAGACAUAGAGAAACAGCCAGUUGUUUCGAAGCACUUAGUAAAUGGAAUAAAAUCACACAUGGAGUGUGAGCUUCCUCUAGUUUAUCCAUGCAGCCAAGCUCCUAGGGCCCUACGUUGUUAGUGAAUCAUUCCAAGUUACUGGGUCUAGUAAAGAAUUCUCAGGUGCUACUAUUGUAUAUGCAAUGGAUGGUUAGCAGGGACCUGCUGUAAAGCAUAAGGAACUCUACCCCACAUUCUGUGAUAACCUAUAUGGGAAAAGAAUCUGAAAAAGUGAUUCUCUGAGUUAGACUGACUCCCUCUACCGUCUAGCUCCUUAUUAAUCCACCUGGAUUUUUU